AUUGAACGCUGGCGGAAUGCUUUACACAUGCAAGUCGAACGGCAGCACGGGUGCUUGCACCUGGUGGCGAGUGGCGAACGGGUGAGUAAUGCACCGGAACGUAUCCAAUAAUGGGGGAUAACGCACCGAAAGGUGUGCUAAUACCGCAUACGCCCUGAGGGGGAAAGCGGGGGAUCGUAAGACCUCGCGUUAAUGGGAGCGGCCGAUGCCGGAUUAGCUAGUUGGUGAGGUAAAGGCUCACCAAGGCGACGAUCCGUAGCUGGUCUGAGAGGACGACCAGCCACACUGGAACUGAGACACGGUCCAGACUCCUACGGGAGGCAGCAGUGGGGAAUUUUGGACAAUGGGCGCAAGCCUGAUCCAGCCAUUCCGCGUGAGUGAAGAAGGCC
RNAcentral lists this ribosomal RNA (389 nucleotides) under uncultured bacterium. RNAcentral describes it as "bacterial SSU rRNA". It matches the Rfam family "Bacterial small subunit ribosomal RNA", at positions 29 to 416 of the family's 1533-position model. The record is from RNAcentral.